Molecule: long non-coding RNA, 287 nt
Filed under: Brassica napus (rape)
Lineage: Eukaryota; Viridiplantae; Streptophyta; Magnoliopsida; Brassicales; Brassicaceae
Description: long non-coding RNA (BNAP_LNC008553)
Source: RNAcentral
UAAAAUUUAAAAUAAAAUAAAAAUAAUAUAUAAAAAACGAAUUCAAAAAAAAAAAAAUGGUGUCAACAAAACAGUAACCCCUAAACUCUAAUACUAAACCCUAAAGUCUAAUACUAAACCCUAAACUCAAAUCCUAAACCCUACAUCCUUGGGUAAACCCUAAAUCCUUGGGCAAACCUUAAAUCUUUGGAAAAACACUAAACAUGUUGUCAACCAAACACUAAACCCUAAACUCUAAUCCUAAACACUAAACCCUUGGGAAAACCCUAAACCCUUGGGUAAACCCU